UACGUAGGGGCGAGCGUUAUCCGGAAUUACUGGGCGUAAAGCGCACGCAGGCGGUUCGCCAAGUUUGGAGUGACAGUUGUCGGCUCAACCGACAAAGGACUUCAAAAACUGGUGAACUUGAGGACGAGAGAGGAACAUGGAACUCCAGGUGUAGUAGUGAAAUGCGUAGAUAUCUGGAAGAACACCAAUGGCGAAGGCAAUGUUCUGGCUCGUUUCUGACGCUCAGGUGCGAAAGCCAGGGGAGCGAACGGG
RNAcentral lists this ribosomal RNA (252 nucleotides) under uncultured bacterium. RNAcentral's name for it is "partial 16S ribosomal RNA". It matches the Rfam family "Bacterial small subunit ribosomal RNA", at positions 524 to 776 of the family's 1533-position model. The record is from RNAcentral.